CACUGUUAUUUUUUGUUACAUAUCUUUGCAACCCCAUUGAGCAUGUCAUUUAAAGCAGGAAUGCGCAGGUCGUGAGUGACCCUGUGCUGCCUUGACUUCUUGUGUCGUGUUUUUACAUCAAACGACAACAAGGGCAUUGAGCCCGGAGCUGCCUUGGACUGGCCUUCUGCGCAAGGUUUUUAAUUUUUUAAAUAAAAUUGAACCUUUAUUUAACUAGGCAAGUCCGUCAGGACGACUCUGGGCCAAUUGUGCACCGCCCUAUUGAACUCCCAAUCAUGGCCGGAUGUGAUACAGCCUGGCUUCAAACCAGGGACUGUAGUGUCACCUCUUGCACUGAGAUGCAGUGCCUUAGACCGCUGCGCCACUCGAGAGCAAAAAACAAACAUAUUUUCGUUAAAUCCUGCCUACUCGAAUGACCCUGGUGCCAUGGCCCCGAACUUGCAAGCUAGCUAACUUUACAGCCACCAGAAACAAACACAGAGCAGACAAAGUCAACAAGCUAGCUAACGUGUUUGCAGAUAAACUGCCCUUGUAGCAGGGACAAAAGAAACAAGCAUCGUUCUCAGUUCUGAAUCAACUCGAUCCCCAAAAGAUAAAAAGAAGCAAGAAAAAUAUGGCUCCUACUUAGCCGGAUAAACAUUGGAAUGAAUUUUGAAAGGUGGAGGAGUGACGCCAAAAUGGCCACCAUUCUCAUGGACUGGUAGGUAAGUGUUUGGUAGCGUUUUUGCCUGCUAGCUACUUUCGCUGCUAACCUUAGUGUGUUCAAUGUUCAUGCUAGCUAAUAUGGCUACUUAUUCUGUAUUCUGACUGUUUUGUACUCAAAGGAAUCUAACAAUAGCAUCAUGUAGCUACACUGCAUGAACCCCACAAGAUGCCAAAUGCCUUUCUUUUAACUAGCUAAUGUUAGCUGGCUAUAGCUAGAUAUGCAGAUUGUUGACAUGAUAAUGUUUGUGAGUUGGUGGUUGACAGCAUUUCCGGCACAGGACCACCACUAGCUAUUCACAGGGAGAUACUGGUGAAGAAAAUCUGAUUUAGAGGGAACCGGAGGCUGUACAAGUUGUGGUUGUGCAAACCCCAACACAGGAGGAGAGGAGAACUUGGACCUGUUGGAUGGAGGAAACAAAGUCAGCCAUAGAUGAUGACGAACAUCCUAACCCUUCAACUACAUUACAUGCGUUGCCAUGGCUUUCUCACCUUUCACCCCCUACUAGUAGGUCCAAGCCAUCCUUUGCAUUAUAUGCCAAGAGUGUGCAAAGCUGUCAUCAAGGCUACUUUGAAGAAUCUCAAAUAUAAAUCAUAUUUUGAUUUGCUUAACACUUUUUUGGUUACUACGUGAUUCCAUAUGUGUAAUUUCAUAGUUUUGAUGUAUUCACUAUUAUUCUACAAUGUAGAAAAAUGUAAAAAAAAUAAAGAAAACACUGGAAUGAG
Molecule: long non-coding RNA, 1428 nt
Organism: Oncorhynchus nerka (sockeye salmon)
Lineage: Eukaryota; Metazoa; Chordata; Actinopteri; Salmoniformes; Salmonidae
Exons: 3
Source: RefSeq, a predicted model, not a curated record